Molecule: ribosomal RNA, 253 nt
Filed under: uncultured bacterium
Lineage: Bacteria
Description: partial 16S ribosomal RNA
Rfam family: Bacterial small subunit ribosomal RNA
Source: RNAcentral
UACGUAGGGAGCAAGCGUUGUCCGGAAUCAUUGGGCGUAAAGCGUCCGCAGGUGGCUGUGUAAGUCUGCUGUCAAAGAGCGAAGCUCAACUUCGUAAAGGCAGUGGAAACUACACGGCUAGAGUGCGUUCGGGGCAGAGGGAAUUCCUGGUGUAGCGGUGAAAUGCGUAGAGAUCAGGAAGAACACCGGUGGCGAAGGCGCUCUGCUAGGCCGCAACUGACACUGAGGGACGAAAGCUAGGGGAGCGAAUGGG